ACGUAAACUUUGAUCCGAAGAUUUCCGAAUGAGGAAACUCACUUAGAGUAAUGUCUAAGUAUCAUUAAGUGAAUACAUAGCUUAAUGAGGGGAACUCAGGGAACUGAAACAUCUAAGUACCUGAAGGAAGAGAAAGAAAUUCGAUUCCGUAAGUAGCGGCGAGCGAACGCGGAUUAGCCCAAACUAAUAAAGUUUUCUUUAUUGGGGUUGCGGACAUAUCAUAACGAAGAGGUAUCGUAAUUGAAGAGGUUUGGAAAGACCCACCACAGAAGGUAAUAGU
This 280-nucleotide ribosomal RNA is filed under the name Clostridioides difficile. RNAcentral describes it as "partial 23S ribosomal RNA". It matches the Rfam family "Bacterial large subunit ribosomal RNA", at positions 90 to 371 of the family's 2925-position model. The record is from RNAcentral. Lineage: Bacteria; Bacillati; Bacillota; Clostridia; Peptostreptococcales; Peptostreptococcaceae.